This is an RNA transcript of Eriocheir sinensis (Chinese mitten crab), 3170 nucleotides long. It is a transcript of the gene named cilia- and flagella-associated protein 251-like, with no coding region annotated. Lineage: Eukaryota; Metazoa; Arthropoda; Malacostraca; Decapoda; Varunidae. The record is from RefSeq and is a predicted model, not a curated record. The transcript has 4 exons.
AGAGAGAGAGAGAGCAAGCCAGUCUGAAGCUGAAGUUAGAGGGAGACAGGUCUCUCUCUCUCACUCUCUCUCUCUCACUCUCUCACACCCACCCACACCCACCAUGUCUAAAGUGACGAUGAGAUCCAGAAUUUAUUUGGACCAAGAGAGAGAGGAGACUAUGGCGGACGGGGAGGAGGUGAAGAAGGUGGAGGAGGAGGAGGAGGAGGAAGAGAAGAAAGAAGAGGAGAAGGAAGAGAAGGAGGAAGAGGAGGAAGAAGAAACGAAGGAAGAAGAAGGAGGAGGUGAGGAGGAGGAAAAGAAAGAAGAGGAAGAAACAGAGGAGGAGGAAGAGAAGAAGGAAGAGGAAGAGACAGAAGAGAAAGAAGAAGAAGAGAAAGGAGAGGAAGUAGAGAAAGAGGAGGAGGAGAAGGAAGAAGAGAAAGGGGAGGAGGAGGAGAAGGAGGAAGAGAAGGAGGAGGAGGAGGAAGAAAAGGAAGAAGAAAAAGAGGAGGAGGAAGAAGAAGAGAAGAAAGAGGAGGAAGAAGAAAAAGAAGAGGAGGAGAAGGAAGAAGAAGAGAGUGAAAAGAAGGAGGAGGAGGAGGAGGAGGAAGGAUGCGAGAGAGGAGAAGAAGGAGGAGGAGAAGGAGAGGAAGAAGCAGAAGAAAAAGAAGAGAAGAAGAAGGAGGAGGAGGAGGAGGAAGAGGAGGAGGAGUAGAGAAACUAUAAUAAUAAUAAUAAUAAUAAUAAUAAUAAUAAUAAUAAUAAUAAUAAUAAUAAUAAUAAUAAUAAUAAUAAUAAUAAUAAUAAUAAUAAUAAUGUGGCCUGCCAUUAGUGAAUAAGAGAAUCUAUGGUAAAAAUUUGCUUAUAAUGUAAUCUAAUAUUAUUAAUUUUUAUUAUUCUCUAUUUAUUAUUAUUAUUAUUUUUAUUAUCAUUAUUACUAUUUGUAUUUCAGGCUAAUGUUUACGUCUAAUUAUUUAUCUUAUAUUUAUCUUUAUUUAUUUAUUUAUUUAUGUAUAUUAACUUUUUUUAUGUGAUCUCUAUACGAAUUUUCUUUUCUCUUAUUUUUCUUUCUUUUUCUGCUUUUACUUUUCUUUCUAACUUUUCUUCCUUUUUUCCUUCGUCUAAUUUCCAUUUUCUUCCUUUGUCCUUCUGUUUUCCUUUUCCUUUUUCGUCUAAUUACCAUUUUCUUUCUUUCUCAUUUAUUUUUUUCUUAUUUUUUUUACAUUUAUCGUCUCGCUCGCCUCCACGUUCAUGCUUCAUUGGUUGUGCCUUGCCUUUAAGCUGCUGUGAUUGGUUAAGAACGCGAUAUUACGUCAUAGUUUUAGCUCUAAGUGAAAUCUAGCUCUAUUUUGAUUGGCUAGCUUGUAUGGUAACGCUAUGCUGCUCUGUGAUUGGCUGAAACACGAUGACGUCACAGUCUGCUCCUUACGUGAAGCCUAAGAUCUUAAUUUCGAUUCGUUGCCAGAGAGACGCUAUGCUGCAUUGUGAUUGGCUGAAACUCUCUGUGACGUCACUAUCUGCUCCUUACGUGAAGCCUAAGAUCUUAAUUUCAAUUCGUUGCCAGAGAGACGCUAUGCUGCAUUGUGAUUGGCUGAAACUCUCUGUGACGUCACUAUCUGCUCCUUACGUGAAGCCUAAGAUCUUAAUUUCAAUUGGUUUGUUGCCAGAGACACGCUAUGCUGCAUUGUGAUUGGCUGAAACAUUCUAUGACGUCACAAUCUGGCCCUUACGUGUAGCUCAUGACUUAAUUUUGAUACGCUAGCUUUCAGAAUCACGCUUAGCUGUUUUCUGAUUGGCUAGAACACGAUAGUAUGUCAACUUGUCAAGCCUGAUUCUUUGUUUUGAUUGGAUGGCUGGGAGAAACACUAUGCUGCUCUGUGAUUGGCUAAGACAUUAAGAGGUUAUAAAUCGAGCUGUGAACUUAAUUAUAAUUGGUUGCCAGGCAGAGGCACGCUACACUGCUUUGUGAUUGGCUAACAGGUUAAUUGACUAUGAAUCGAGGCUUGAUCUUGCUCUUGAUUGGCAGUUGGUCCUUAAUAAGCUGCUUUGUGAUUGGCUAAAAGGUUAAUUGACUAUGAAUCGAGGCUUGAUCUUGCUCUUGAUUGGCAGUUGGUCCUUAAUAACCUGCUUUGUGAUUGGCUAAAAGGUUAACUGACCAUGAAUCGAGCCUUGAUCUUGCUCUUGAUUGGCAGUUGGCUCUUAAUAAGCUGCUUUGUGAUUGGCUAAAAGGUUAACUGACUAUGAAUCGAGGCUUGAUCUUACUCUUGAUUGGCAGUUGGUCCUUAAUAAGCUGCUUUGUGAUUGGCUAACAGGUUAAUUGACUAUGAAUCGAGGCUUGAUCUUGCUCUUGAUUGGCAGUUGGCUCUUAAUAAGCUGCUUUGUGAUUGGCUAAAAGGUUAACUGACUAUGAAUCGAGCCUUGAUCUUGCUCUUGAUUGGCAGUUGGUUCUUAAUAAGCUGCUUUGUGAUUGGCUAAAAGGUUAACUGACUAUGAAUCGAGCCUUGAUCUUGCUCUUGAUUGGCAGUUGGUCCUUAAUAAGCUGCUUUGUGAUUGGCUAACAGGUUAAUUGACUAUGAAUCGAGGCUUGAUCUUGCUCUUGAUUGGCAGUUGGCUCUUAAUAAGCUGCUUUGUGAUUGGCUAAAAGGUCGAAAGGGUAUAAAUCCAACCUAGAUCUUCAUUUUGAUUGGCUAAAACACGCCGCCCUUUAGAGUAGUGACAUUACGUAAUAGCUGUAUUCUGAUUGGCUGCCACAUUCUAGCACCAAAUUUUCCCUUAAUUCUGAUUGGCUGUCAUAUUCUAACUCCUAUUCUUCCUUUAGUUAUGAUUGGCUUAGACACGCAGUUACUGUUUGGCCCUUUAGAGAAGUGACAUUAAUAGCUGUAUUCUGAUUGGCUGCCACAUUCUAGCACCAAAUUUUCCCUUAGUUCUGAUUGGCUGUUACAUUCUAGCUCUCAUUUUUCCCUUAGUUUUGAUUGGCUGGUUGGUCUUUCUUUCUCCGCCCAAGACAGACAAUCAGGAGGAGUCCCGUCAAAGGUCCGACAUAUCACAUUGCCUUAGUAACGAUAACGAUGACAAUAACAAUAGGUAAUAAUAAAAAUAAUAAUAAUAAUAACAAUAAUGAAUAAUGAUAAUGAAGGGUAUGAUAAGAGGAAGAGGAGAAGAAGAAUUAAUAAAUGAAAUGAAUAUAA